AUUGCUUCUUAUGGUCAACCCCUUUUAAUCAAAAUAUGAGGUAUCUGUUAAAGUUUCGGAAGCAAAAAUUAAUUUUUAAACCAGUAUUAAACAAGAAUGUGUAUUUUCCGCUGUACUUUGUUACCUGCUUUUUUUGGUACAUUU
Molecule: small nucleolar RNA, 144 nt
Organism: Humulus lupulus (European hop)
Lineage: Eukaryota; Viridiplantae; Streptophyta; Magnoliopsida; Rosales; Cannabaceae
Product: small nucleolar RNA snoR137
Exons: 1
Source: RefSeq, a predicted model, not a curated record